ACCAUUAUAAAAUCGUUAUUCUCUAGAGAAAUGUAGACAACAAAUGUCUCAAACCUCUUUGACCAUCAUCAUAUAUUAGUACAUGAGACAACUAUGCAUUAAAGCAAUAUUGUUAUAUUUUUUUAAUUUUUCUCAAAAUCUAUGUGUUAACAACCUCUACGAAAAUAUUGAGUUUUACGUUAAACGCUCUAUAUACUGAUGCCUAAACAUUUUAGUGUUGUUUUAUAAUUUCUAACCACACUCUACAUUUGUAUUAAUGUAUGUUAAAAUCUCUUUCAUGAUAUAUGGGAAUUUUAUAACUUUUUAUCAAUUAAUUUAGUAAAACUUCAUAAUACUCCCUAAAUCGGUGGAAUAACCACUAUAAAGUCGCUAUUUUCUUGAAAACGGAGACAACAAAGGCUCUAAACCUCUUUAAAAAUCAUCUUAUCUUAGUGCAGGAUGAAACUAUGCAUUAAAAUAAUAUUGUCAUAUUUUUUGAAAUUUUCUCGAAAUCAAUGUGUGUUCCCUACGAAAAUAUUGAGCAUCGUUCAAUUUUAAAAUUUUUUUUUCUCAAAUUCUAUUUGUUAACUAAUCACUAAAAAUUCUAUUGAGCAUCGUUAAAUUUUAAAAAAAAUUUUAGUAAAACUUCAUAAUACUCCCUAAAUCGGUAGGAUAUCCCCUAUAUAAUCGCUAUUUUCUUGAAAAACAGAGACAACAAAGACUCCAAACCUCUUCCACCAUCA
RNAcentral lists this long non-coding RNA (722 nucleotides) under Brassica napus (rape). Its description in RNAcentral is "long non-coding RNA (BNAP_LNC014639)". Lineage: Eukaryota; Viridiplantae; Streptophyta; Magnoliopsida; Brassicales; Brassicaceae. The record is from RNAcentral.